This 244-nucleotide ribosomal RNA is filed under the name uncultured bacterium. RNAcentral describes it as "partial 16S ribosomal RNA". It matches the Rfam family "Bacterial small subunit ribosomal RNA", at positions 116 to 354 of the family's 1533-position model. The record is from RNAcentral.
CGUGGGUAACCUGCCCAAGAGACUGGGAUAACACCUGGAAACAGAUGCUAAUACCGGAUAACAACACUAGACGCAUGUCUAGAGUUUAAAAGAUGGUUCUGCUAUCACUCUUGGAUGGACCUGCGGUGCAUUAGCUAGUUGGUAAGGUAACGGCUUACCAAGGCAAUGAUGCAUAGCCGAGUUGGGAGACUGAUCGGCCACAUUGGGACUGAGACACGGCCCAAACUCCUACGGGAGGCAGCAG